Long non-coding RNA from Zea mays, 1354 nucleotides. RefSeq lists it as uncharacterized. NCBI's taxonomy places the organism in Eukaryota, Viridiplantae, Streptophyta, Magnoliopsida, Poales, Poaceae. The transcript has 3 exons. The record is from RefSeq and is marked validated.
UGCACCAUUUCCUCCCCACACCAGCCAUCUUCCUCACCGCAGCUCCUAGCCCUGAGGACGAUGCCCCCUUCCUUCUUUGCAGGUGGCCGAUGCUUCCUCUGCUCCUCCAUCCCCAUCUCGCCCUUCAGCCAUGGGCGCCGCCAACCAUGGUGCUCGCCUCUUCCAGUCGUUCCUAUCUCCAGCGCUGGCUGCCAUCUCCUCCACGAGGUGUCUUCUCCGUCGCCGCUCCCUGCGUGAUUACCUUGGCCAGCGCCCUCGACUACUCAGCCAUGGAGGUCGCUGCCCCUUCUUUUCCUGAUCUCCCUCCAUCGGUUCAAAGCUCGGCGUCCCUGCUCCUGUCCCUCCCAUGGACGCCGCCCCUCCCUCAGCUCACUCCCUCUAGCCGCCAUGGAGCUCGCCCCUGUCCAAAUUCGGUUGCCUCUGUUUCCCCCUCUCUCUGUUGGUGGCUGGCAUCCCAUCUCCCCUGCGUUGGACGGCUGCCGCUUCGUUCUCGUCGCUGGCGUUCGUCCCUGCUCCAGCUAGUUCUCAUGGCCAUGCCUCUGUUCCCUAGGUCCGAGCUCGCCCAACUCCCUAGCCAUCUCUGCUCGCCCCUCUCUGUCUCUGUGCGAGCAGCAGCACGACGGGGCAGACCUAUGUCCUCGACGCGCACCAGAUGUUUGAUGGGAGGUUUGAACUGGAGUUCAUUAUUUUCCAUACGUGACCCGCAAGUCUUUGCACAGCGAUGAGGUUAUAUUCUUACUUGAGUAUUUUGUCUCUCGGUGUCGAUUAUAAACUAUUAAUCAUGUGUAUAUUUGUGUGUUCUUGUGAGGAGAGAAACCCUCGGGACCGAUGAUGAAGAAGUGAGGCCCGUUCGACGUUUGCUAAAUGUUCGGUAGAAGGUUCGAACCAAAAAUCAUCGUCGAUCUCGUGAUUUCGAGUUUGGUUUAGUUAUGGUUCGUUACACGUGAUGCGGAGGACAAGAGCCGAGUUGAUCUCAAAAUGAUGCUGGUGAACGAACCAGCGGAAUGGAUGAUCUGAUCAAGUGCUAGGACGGAAGAUGCUCACCAAGUGGUCGUCAUCUAACCACACUAACCUAGUGUUAUCCCAGGUUAUAAGUUUGUUCCGUUGUGGAUGGUGCUAAGUGCCGGUGGGCUCGGCCUUCUUAUAUAAGUAUAUCCCAUCUUUAGCUUCUUUAUUGAGGAUUGUCACUUAAGCUAGCAUGUAUUUGAAAACCUAUAAAUGUUUUAUACAUUUUAAAUUGUAAUUUUUUUGAAUCACUUUCUUUUGUAAUCACUCCGAUGAUAUAUAUUGUAAUCUUGUUAUAACUUGUAAAUGUUGUAACUUGUAACCAUUUUGUAAUAAAGAUUUUCCGCUG